Molecule: ribosomal RNA, 425 nt
Filed under: uncultured bacterium
Lineage: Bacteria
Description: partial 16S ribosomal RNA
Rfam family: Bacterial small subunit ribosomal RNA
Source: RNAcentral
GUUAGGAAUAUUGGACAAUGGGCGCAAGCCUGAUCCAGCCAUGCCACGUGAACGAUGAAGGCCUUCGGGUUGUAAAGUUCUUUAGCCGAUGAUUAUAAUGACUGUAGUCGGAAAAUAAGCCCCGGCUAACUUCGUGCCAGCAGCCGCGGUAAUACGAAGGGGGCGAGCGUUAUUCGGAAUCACUGGGCGUAAAGCGUGCGUAGGCGGUCUCGUAAGUUAGGAGUGAAAGCCCAGGGCUCAACCUUGGAAUUGCUCUUAAUACUGCAAGGCUAGAAUCUCGGAGAGGAUAGCGGAAUUUCCAGUGUAGCAGUGAAAUGCGUAGAUAUUGGAAGGAACACCAGUGGCGUAAGCGGCUAUCUGGACGAGUAUUGACGCUGAGGCACGAAAGCGUGGGGAUCAAACAGGAUUAGAUACCCGUGUAGUCC